AGUCUCCAGAGACCAUCUCCCAUCUCUACAGCGACUCCCCUAUGACCGUCCCCCACCCGGUGCUCUCGGGCCACGGGGAAGGGACACUCGGGAAAGACACCAGAGACCGGGAGGGUGCAGCUGGGCUCUUCGCGGGGAGCGGGCGGGAGGCCUUCCUGUUACAUGUCGCAGCUGGGACACAGACGGCAGCGCUCCAGGGUCCACUUGCCGGCUUCGGUUCCCUCAGGCCCAGGACCAGGCUCCACACCGCUGUCGCGUCCCUUAGCCGUGUGGGCUGUAGCACAGAGGGGGCAAACACCUCCAGGGGCUUGUGCCAAGUAAUUACCAAGCAAAUUCCCGGCGAUUUCCUCUCCUCCCCCCGCCCCCCCGGGCAGUGCCCGCUGCGUGUUCCCUGAUUCGGCCCCCGGCUGUGCAAUCAGCUCCAGGUAACCUGCGGGGACCCGUAAUUGCUCUGGAGUUGCCUGCGAGUUUGCAAGGUGGACACGGAAUUGUAGUGCUGGUCCUCCCUCUGCACUGGACUGGAUUCUGCCAAAGUCAACCAAGCGCCUUCAGUUGCUGACUCUCGUCUCCAGGCCAGGCCCUGAGCCUUAUCUUUUCAUCAUAUGCCCAUCAAGGUAUAUUGCUAAAGAGAAGAGAGCUCUCCAAUUUCAGAAGUUCUGCCUAAGCUUUAACGCCUGAUGUCUGGGAGCUCGUCUAAUUCUGCCACUUUAAGGGUCUACUCUGCAGUCCUCAAAGUUCAGAUGAUUCUUCCCCAAACCAUCAAAGACAGCCCUGGCUGUCUCUGAGUUCUUAUGCCCAUGAGGAUGACCUAUGAAUCCCAGAAAGAUACAGAAUUGAGAAUCACCAGAGAACUCUGUUCCAGGAAUCAAGUGAUUAAAGUUACAGUUCCAGUGUCAUCACUAAAUAGCAAGGUGACCUUGGAUGCCUCAUUUUAUCAAAUCUCUCCAUUUUUCAACCUCUAAAAGUAGGAUAAUUUCACAGAUUUGUUAUAAGGAUGAAAAGAGAAAAUGGAUGGGAAAAGUUUGUGAAAGCCUUUGAGAUGUAGGACAAUAAAAAUGGGAAGAGAUCUGCUGGGAUGUUAUCUAGCCCAACCUUCCACCAGGGGCUCACUGAGACUCUGCAUGGAACUUUCACUAAUGGAAAAAUCACUCCCUCGCAGCAAGGUUUCAUUGUUGGCAGACACAAAAAGGACUUUCAAAAAUUAUUUUUAAAAUUUAAGAGAUAUUAUGUCUCUAGGAUGAUAUACAUGUUUCAAGUAGUAUUAAAAGCCACACUGAUGGAUAUGUAAUAAUA
RNAcentral lists this long non-coding RNA (1293 nucleotides) under Homo sapiens (human). RNAcentral describes it as "non-protein coding lnc-APOC3-6:10". Lineage: Eukaryota; Metazoa; Chordata; Mammalia; Primates; Hominidae. The record is from RNAcentral.